UUAAGUUAUUAAGGGCGCACGGUGGAUGCCUUGGCACUAGAAGCCGAUGAAGGACGUUACUAACGACGAUAUGCUUUGGGGAGCUGUAAGUAAGCUUUGAUCCAGAGAUUUCCGAAUGGGGAAACCCAGCAUGAGUUAUGUCAUGUUAUCGAUAUGUGAAUACAUAGCAUAUCAGAAGGCACACCCGGAGAACUGAAACAUCUUAGUACCCGGAGGAAGAGAAAGAAAAUUCGAUUCCCUUAGUAGCGGCGAGCGAAACGGGAAGAGCCCAAACCAACAAGCUUGCUUGUUGGGGUUGUAGGACACUCUGUACGGAGUUACAAAGGACGACAUUAGACGAAUCAUCUGGAAAGAUGAAUCAAAGAAGGUAAUAAUCCUGUAGUCGAAAAUGUUGUCUCUCUUGAGUGGAUCCUGAGUACGACGGAGCACGUGAAAUUCCGUCGGAAUCUGGGAGGACCAUCUCCUAAGGCUAAAUACUCUCUAGUGACCGAUAGUGAACCAGUACCGUGAGGGAAAGGUGAAAAGCACCCCGGAAGGGGAGUGAAAUAGAACCUGAAACCGUGUGCUUACAAGUAGUCAGAGCCCGUUAAUGGGUGAUGGCGUGCCUUUUGUAGAAUGAACCGGCGAGUUACGAUUUGAUGCAAGGUUAAGCAGUAAAUGUGGAGCCGUAGCGAAAGCGAGUCUGAAUAGGGCGUUUAGUAUUUGGUCGUAGACCCGAAACCAGGUGAUCUACCCUUGGUCAGGUUGAAGUUCAGGUAACACUGAAUGGAGGACCGAACCGACUUACGUUGAAAAGUGAGCGGAUGAACUGAGGGUAGCGGAGAAAUUCCAAUCGAACCUGGAGAUAGCUGGUUCUCUCCGAAAUAGCUUUAGGGCUAGCCUCAAGUGAUGAUUAUUGGAGGUAGAGCACUGUUUGGACGAGGGGCCCCUCUCGGGUUACCGAAUUCAGACAAACUCCGAAUGCCAAUUAAUUUAACUUGGGAGUCAGAACAUGGGUGAUAAGGUCCGUGUUCGAAAGGGAAACAGCCCAGACCACCAGCUAAGGUCCCAAAAUAUAUGUUAAGUGGAAAAGGAUGUGGCGUUGCCCAGACAACUAGGAUGUUGGCUUAGAAGCAGCCAUCAUUUAAAGAGUGCGUAAUAGCUCACUAGUCGAGUGACACUGCGCCGAAAAUGUACCGGGGCUAAACAUAUUACCGAAGCUGUGGAUUGUCCUUUGGACAAUGGUAGGAGAGCGUUCUAAGGGCGUUGAAGCAUGAUCGUAAGGACAUGUGGAGCGCUUAGAAGUGAGAAUGCCGGUGUGAGUAGCGAAAGACGGGUGAGAAUCCCGUCCACCGAUUGACUAAGGUUUCCAGAGGAAGGCUCGUCCGCUCUGGGUUAGUCGGGUCCUAAGCUGAGGCCGACAGGCGUAGGCGAUGGAUAACAGGUUGAUAUUCCUGUACCACCUAUAAUCGUUUUAAUCGAUGGGGGGACGCAGUAGGAUAGGCGAAGCGUGCGAUUGGAUUGCACGUCUAAGCAGUAAGGCUGAGUAUUAGGCAAAUCCGGUACUCGUUAAGGCUGAGCUGUGAUGGGGAGAAGACAUUGUGUCUUCGAGUCGUUGAUUUCACACUGCCGAGAAAAGCCUCUAGAUAGAAAAUAGGUGCCCGUACCGCAAACCGACACAGGUAGUCAAGAUGAGAAUUCUAAGGUGAGCGAGCGAACUCUCGUUAAGGAACUCGGCAAAAUGACCCCGUAACUUCGGGAGAAGGGGUGCUCUUUAGGGUUAACGCCCAGAAGAGCCGCAGUGAAUAGGCCCAAGCGACUGUUUAUCAAAAACACAGGUCUCUGCUAAACCGUAAGGUGAUGUAUAGGGGCUGACGCCUGCCCGGUGCUGGAAGGUUAAGAGGAGUGGUUAGCUUCUGCGAAGCUACGAAUCGAAGCCCCAGUAAACGGCGGCCGUAACUAUAACGGUCCUAAGGUAGCGAAAUUCCUUGUCGGGUAAGUUCCGACCCGCACGAAAGGCGUAACGAUUUGGGCACUGUCUCAACGAGAGACUCGGUGAAAUCAUAGUACCUGUGAAGAUGCAGGUUACCCGCGACAGGACGGAAAGACCCCGUGGAGCUUUACUGUAGCCUGAUAUUGAAAUUCGGCACAGCUUGUACAGGAUAGGUAGGAGCCUUUGAAACGUGAGCGCUAGCUUACGUGGAGGCGCUGGUGGGAUACUACCCUAGCUGUGUUGGCUUUCUAACCCGCACCACUUAUCGUGGUGGGAGACAGUGUCAGGCGGGCAGUUUGACUGGGGCGGUCGCCUCCUAAAAGGUAACGGAGGCGCUCAAAGGUUCCCUCAGAAUGGUUGGAAAUCAUUCAUAGAGUGUAAAGGCAUAAGGGAGCUUGACUGCGAGACCUA
RNAcentral lists this ribosomal RNA (2383 nucleotides) under Staphylococcus aureus M0195. RNAcentral describes it as "bacterial LSU rRNA". It matches the Rfam family "Bacterial large subunit ribosomal RNA", at positions 3 to 2384 of the family's 2925-position model. The record is from RNAcentral. Lineage: Bacteria; Bacillati; Bacillota; Bacilli; Caryophanales; Staphylococcaceae.